Drosophila nasuta is the source of this 342-nucleotide long non-coding RNA. RefSeq lists it as uncharacterized. The record is from RefSeq and is a predicted model, not a curated record. The transcript is spliced from 2 exons. NCBI's taxonomy places the organism in Eukaryota, Metazoa, Arthropoda, Insecta, Diptera, Drosophilidae.
GUUAUGCCACAGUUCACCGAUCAGUGACGAUAACUAAUUUACAGACAGAGAGACACUUAAAUAAUACGAGAAGUAUGUCACGAAAACUAAACUUUAUUAAUCUGUGCCUGGUGUCGUUCUUAUGGAUGUGGCUAAUUGUUGGUGGAAUGGCUAUAGCAUUUACUCGUAGAGGCCAUCAUUAUCCGUGCGCAGAACAGAAUGGACAAUGCAUGACUACUUGCAGUUCUGAUUUAAAGAGAUAUUCCACUGACUGUGGUGAUCGGAAAUGGUGCUGUGUUUCGAUUUAGAUUGCUUAUCUAUGAAAUUGUAAUACCAUCAGCAAUAAAAAAUAAUAUAACAUAA